RNAcentral lists this small nuclear RNA (162 nucleotides) under Habropoda laboriosa. RNAcentral's name for it is "U1 spliceosomal RNA". It matches the Rfam family "U1 spliceosomal RNA". From Rfam's summary of the family: U1 is a small nuclear RNA (snRNA) component of the spliceosome (involved in pre-mRNA splicing). Its 5' end forms complementary base pairs with the 5' splice junction, thus defining the 5' donor site of an intron. Lineage: Eukaryota; Metazoa; Arthropoda; Insecta; Hymenoptera; Apidae. The record is from Rfam by way of RNAcentral.
AUACUUACCUGGCGUAGAGGUUACCGUGAUCAAGAAGGCGGUUCCUCCAGGGUGAGGCUCUUCCAUUGCACUGCGGUUGAGCUGACCUCUGCGAAUAUCCCUAAUGUGGAUAUCUCGGACGUACAAUUUUUGGUAGUCGGGACUGCGUUCGCGCUAUCCCGG